This 460-nucleotide ribosomal RNA is filed under the name uncultured bacterium. RNAcentral describes it as "partial 16S ribosomal RNA". It matches the Rfam family "Bacterial small subunit ribosomal RNA", at positions 338 to 795 of the family's 1533-position model. The record is from RNAcentral.
CCUACGGGGGGCAGCAGUGAGGAAUAUUGGUCAAUGGACGAGAGUCUGAACCAGCCAAGUAGCGUGAAGGAUGACUGCCCUAUGGGUUGUAAACUUCUUUUAUAUGGGAAUAAAACGUUCCACGUGUGGGAUUUUGUAUGUACCAUAUGAAUAAGGAUCGGCUAACUCCGUGCCAGCAGCCGCGGUAAUACGGAGGAUCCGAGCGUUAUCCGGAUUUAUUGGGUUUAAAGGGAGCGUAGGUGGAUUGUUAAGUCAGUUGUGAAAGUUUGCGGCUCAACCGGAAAAUUGCAGUUGAAACUGGCAGUCUUGAGUACAGUAGAGGUGGGCGGAAUUCGUGGUGUAGCGGUGAAAUGCUUAGAUAUCACGAAGAACUCCGAUUGCGAAGGCAGUUCACUGGACUGCAACUGACACUGAGGCUCGAAAGUGUGGGUAUCAAACAGGAUUAGAUACCCUGGUAGUC